Molecule: non-coding RNA, 85 nt
Organism: Pelobates cultripes (western spadefoot toad)
Lineage: Eukaryota; Metazoa; Chordata; Amphibia; Anura; Pelobatidae
Source: the annotation of a GenBank genome assembly
CGGCACUCCAGAUGUUUUGGACUACUCUUUCCAUAAUGCUUUGCCAGCAUUAUGGGGGAUGAAGUCCACAACAUCUUGGGUGCCG